UACGUAGGGGGCUAGCGUUGUCCGGAUUUAUUGGGCGUAAAGAGCGUGUAGGCGGUUUGGUAGGUCCGCUGUGAAAACUCGAGCUCAACCUCGAGACGCCGGUGGAAACCAUCAGGCUAGAGUCCGGAAGAGGAGAGUGGAAUUCCUGGUGUAGCGGUGAAAUGCGCAGAUAUCAGGAAGAACACCCGUGGCUAAGGCGGCUCUCUAGUACGGUACUGACGCUGAGACGCGAAAGCGUGGGGAGCGAACAGG
RNAcentral lists this ribosomal RNA (252 nucleotides) under uncultured bacterium. RNAcentral's name for it is "partial 16S ribosomal RNA". It matches the Rfam family "Bacterial small subunit ribosomal RNA", at positions 524 to 776 of the family's 1533-position model. The record is from RNAcentral.